UAAAACUGCUUCACCUGCACCCGCAAUUAAGUUCCACAAUAACUUGCACGGUGUGUAUAUUACAAAAGCAUAUUAUAACAUAGUAUCUACGUAUAAAUUGUAUCCUUGGAAAACGUCAAUUUCGAAUAAUUAAACGAAAAGAAGAUUUUCUAAAAAUUGUAAUAUACCGUAUAUCACUUAAAUAAUUGGUAAUAAAUUGUUGAACGUUCUUAUGUUAUUUUCUCUAUUAUUUAAAAGCAUGAAGAAUUUUAAGCUCAUUGAGUAUUCAUUAAUUCAUUAGCAUACGGAGCAGUAGAAUUUUCAAACUUAAGUCAAUACAAGUGUGCGGAACCCUUAAUUAAUAAUGCUUAAUUUAAAGUGCUGGAAAUAGUUUAGAAUUCUACAAAAGUAUAGCAAUUAAACUUGGAAAAUUAUCACUAUGCGGGGUGAAUAUAAAAGAUAAAUUACAGUUUAUAUCUGAAAAGACAAAUGACCGCGGUCGAUUUCAUCAGUACCGAUAUGCACGCGAAUCGUGGGUAUGUUAUUACAUUUCCAGGAUUCCAAAUAUCAUUACUUAAUAGCUCCUAAUCAAAGUGUUUCGGAUAAUAAAUUGAUCUGAGUUAGAAAUAUGAUUAUUUUCGUGCGAAAGGCUAGUUUCAGCGAUCGUAAUUCAGUGAUCAUGAAAAUUGACGUAUCUCGCGUGUCUCAAAAAGUAUUCAGUGUUUGAAGCUUUUCUUUCUUUAUGGCUGUCUCCUCGUAAGGGAGAUGUGCCAGUCAGUGUGAUAAUAGACUAUCGGUAAACUGCAUUAUCAAAUAUUGGUAAAGAGGGUUGACCCUAAUGUAUUAUGUGACUAAAACAAAAUUUAUGGAUUUUCAAUAUGCUCCAGAAUUGCUAUGUUAGUUCCAGCAUAUCUCACGUGCCCGCAGCGCUCACUAAUCGUCAAACACAAAGUUCCAUGAGGCCGUGACUGUCUGUGGUAAUAUCACCUCGGUAACUGUAUGCAUUCCCAUAGAUAUAAAGUGUGCUUGACAGAAUAAGAAUAACACGUGCACGAAUUAUAGGAAUCACACGUGAAAGAGAAAUACGGGACAUUUGUGAUAUACUAAAUGAAAUCUCGAGCAGAGGUCACUGAUGUGAGGCACCUUCUUCCCGGCGUCUGGAAUGCCUUGACACUCAGGACACGAUGACUUUUCAAUUUUCACCUCGUCGGAUUCUUCAGUGUGAAGGUAGCAGCUUUAUUGCAUCGACGUCAUUUUUUUACGGAAUUAUCCCGUCCGUUAAAGAAGCUACUACGACGUUCUACAUUCCUUAUACCCACUGCAGGGUCAAUAACAUCAGGUUCUUAUCCUGAAUUCUUGAAAUAUCACAAGGAAAGGAAAUAUUGUCAGCAGCUUAAGGUGAAAACAAGCUUCGAUCCUAUGUAUUUCGAAAUACAAUCAAUGAGGAAGACAAGCAGAGGAAACCUCACAUCGGAUAUCCGAGAUGCUACGAGAUACACGCAACGUGACUUCCAAUGCAUGACAAAUGAAAAGCGUUAGGCUUAACAUUUAUUUAAUAAGUUUACAGUAAUACAGUAAGAUUCCGG
Molecule: long non-coding RNA, 1565 nt
Organism: Cephus cinctus (wheat stem sawfly)
Lineage: Eukaryota; Metazoa; Arthropoda; Insecta; Hymenoptera; Cephidae
Exons: 4
Source: RefSeq, a predicted model, not a curated record